UUGCCAGCCCGCUCAGGUGUGCCAGCCGCCGCGGUAAUACGUAGGUGGCAAGCGUUAUCCGGAUUUACUGGGUGUAAAGGGCGUGUAGCCGGGCUGACAAGUCAGAUGUGAAAUCCGGGGGCUCAACCCCCGAACUGCAUUUGAAACUGUUGGUCUUGAGUAUCGGAGAGGCAGGCGGAAUUCCUAGUGUAGCGGUGAAAUGCGUAGAUAUUAGGAGGAACACCAGUGGCGAAGGCGGCCUGCUGGACGACAACUGACGGUGAGGCGCGAAAGCGUGGGGAGCAAACAGG
Molecule: ribosomal RNA, 290 nt
Filed under: uncultured bacterium
Lineage: Bacteria
Description: partial 16S ribosomal RNA
Rfam family: Bacterial small subunit ribosomal RNA
Source: RNAcentral